ACAGAGGUCUCAAGCGUUGUUCGGAUUCAUUGGGCGUAAAGGGUGCGUAGGUGGUGGGGUAAGUCGAAUGUGAAAGCCCUCGGCUCAACCGAGGAAGUGCAUUCGAUACUGUUUCGCUUGAAUGCCGGAGGGGAUGGCGGAAUUCCCGGUGUAGAGGUGAAAUUCGUAGAUAUCGGGAGGAACACCUGUGGCGAAGGCGGCCAUCUGGACGGCGAUUGACGCUGAGACGCGAAAGCGUGGGUAGCAAACAGGA
This 253-nucleotide ribosomal RNA is filed under the name uncultured prokaryote. RNAcentral describes it as "partial 16S ribosomal RNA". It matches the Rfam family "Bacterial small subunit ribosomal RNA", at positions 525 to 777 of the family's 1533-position model. The record is from RNAcentral.